Molecule: ribosomal RNA, 844 nt
Filed under: uncultured bacterium
Lineage: Bacteria
Description: bacterial SSU rRNA
Rfam family: Bacterial small subunit ribosomal RNA
Source: RNAcentral
CAAGUCGAGCGAUGAAGCACCUUCGGGUGUGAAUUAGCGGCGAACGGGUGAGGAGCACGUGAAGAAUCUGCCUUCAACUCUGGGAUAACUCCGGGAAACCGGGGCUAAUACCGGAUAUGAGCCUUGAUCGCAUGAUCGGGGCUGGAAAGUUUUUCGGUUGAAGAUGACUUCGCGGCCUAUCAGCUUGUUGGUGAGGUAAUGGCUCACCAAGGCGACGACGGGUAGCCGGCCUGAGAGGGCGACCGGCCACACUGGGACUGAGACACGGCCCAGACUCCUACGGGAGGCAGCAGUGGGGAAUAUUGGGCAAUGGAGGAAACUCUGACCCAGCGACGCCGCGUGAGGGAUGAAGGCCUUCGGGUUGUAAACCUCUUUCAGUAGGGAAGAAGCGAAAGUGACGGUACCUACAGAAGAAGCACCGGCUAACUAUGUGCCAGCAGCCGCGGUAAUACAUAGGGUGCAAGCGUUGUCCGGAAUUAUUGGGCGUAAAGAGCUCGUAGGUGGUUCGAUACGUCGGAUGUGAAAAUCAGGGGCUCAACCCCUGACCUGCAUCCGAUACGGUCGAGCUGGAGUUUGGUAGGGGAGACUGGAAUUCCUGGUGUAGCGGUGGAAUGCGCAGAUAUCAGGAGGAACACCGAUGGCGAAGGCAGGUCUCUGGGCCAAUACUGACACUGAGGAGCGAAAGCGUGGGGGAGCGAACAGGAUUAGAUACCCUGGUAGUCCACGCCGUAAACGGUGGGCGCUAGUUGUGCGAACCUUCCACGGUUUGUGCGACGCAGCUAACGCAUUAAGCGCCCCGCCUGGGGAGUACGAUCGCAAGAUUAAAACUCAAAGGAAUUGACGG